CCUACGGGUGGCAGCAGUGAGGAAUAUUGGUCAAUGGACGCAAGUCUGAACCAGCCAUGUCGCGUGCAGGAAGACGGCUCUAUGAGUUGUAAACUUCUUUUGUACGGGGGUAAACGCAGAUACGCGUAUCUGUCUGAAAGUAUCGUACGAAUAAGGAUCGGCUAACUCCGUGCCAGCAGCCGCGGUAAUACGGAGGAUUCAAGCGUUAUCCGGAUUUAUUGGGUUUAAAGGGAGCGUAGGCGGGUGGAUAAGUUAGAGGUGAAAUCCCGAGGCUCAACCUCAGAAUUGCCACUGAUACUGGUAGGCUAGAGAGUAGUUGCGGUAGGCGGAAUGUAUGGUGUAGCGGUGAAAUGCUUAGAGAUCAUACAGAACACCGAUUGCGAAGGCAGCUUACCAAGCUACUUCUGACAUUGAGGCACGAAAGCGUGGGGAGCAAACAGGAUUAGAUACCCUGGUAGUC
This 460-nucleotide ribosomal RNA is filed under the name uncultured bacterium. RNAcentral's name for it is "partial 16S ribosomal RNA". It matches the Rfam family "Bacterial small subunit ribosomal RNA", at positions 338 to 795 of the family's 1533-position model. The record is from RNAcentral.